AUACGUAGGGUGCAAGCGUUAAUCGGAAUUACUGGGCGUAAAGCGUGCGCAGGCGGUUUUGUAAGGCAGAGGUGAAAUCCCCGGGCUCAACCUGGGAACUGCCUUUGUGACUGCCAGGCUAGAGUACGGCAGAGGGGGAUGGAAUUUCGGGUGUGGGAGUGAAAAGCGUAGAUAUGCGGAGGAACACCGAUGGCGAAGGCAAUCCCCUGGGCCUGUACUGACGCUCAUGCACGAAAGCGUGGGGAGCAAACAGGAUUAGAUACCCUGGUAGUCCACGCCCUAAACGAUGUCAACUGGUUGUUGGGUCUUCAUUGACUCAGUAACGAAGCUAACGCGUGAAGUUGACCGCCUGGGGAGUACGGCCGCAAGGUUGAAACUCAAAUGAAUUGACGGGG
This 395-nucleotide ribosomal RNA is filed under the name uncultured bacterium. Its description in RNAcentral is "partial 16S ribosomal RNA". It matches the Rfam family "Bacterial small subunit ribosomal RNA", at positions 523 to 918 of the family's 1533-position model. The record is from RNAcentral.